Molecule: ribosomal RNA, 402 nt
Filed under: uncultured prokaryote
Description: bacterial SSU rRNA
Rfam family: Bacterial small subunit ribosomal RNA
Source: RNAcentral
UGGGGAAUAUUAGAAAUGGACGAAAGUCUGAUCUAGCAACACCGCGUGUGCGAAGAAGGCCUUCGGGUUGUAAAGCACUUUUUGGAAGGAUUAGGAAGGAAUGUACUUCCAGAGUAAGUCUCGGCCAACUACGUGCCAGCAGCCGCGGUAACACGUAGGAGGCAAACGUUAUCCGGAUUUACUGGGCGUAAAGCGCGUGUAGGUGGUUCUGUAAGUAGGGCGUGAAAGCUCCUGGCUCAACUGGGAGAGGCCGUUCUAAACUGCAGAGCUAGAGGAUGGUAGAGGGAGGUGGAAUUCCGGGUGUAGCGGUGGAAUGCGCAGAUAUCCGGAGGAACACCAGUGGCGAAAGCGGCCUCCUGGACCAUUCCUGACACUCAGACGCGAAAGCUAGGGUAGCAAACG